This 959-nucleotide unclassified non-coding RNA is filed under the name Hevea brasiliensis (rubber tree). Lineage: Eukaryota; Viridiplantae; Streptophyta; Magnoliopsida; Malpighiales; Euphorbiaceae. The record is from RNAcentral.
ACUAAACAUCUGAAAUCAAAUGUAAGCCAAUGACCUCUGCUUCCAUAGUAAUAUUUAUCCCAUGACAGAAAAGAAGUUAUAAAACCAUUAAAGCAACAAAUUUGAACUUCACUUGCACUCAACAACAGCUUCAGCUGCCCGCCUAGGCUUGUUUUUUCGCCUGCUUCCAUUUUGUCGAAAUCCAAUACUAACUAUUGAAUCAUCAGAACUCAAUUUGGUUCCAACACCAUUUCCCUCUUUUGCUGAAUCUGUAUUUUCUUUGGUAUGUGCAGGCCUCUUCCUCUUGCGUCCAUUUUCCAUGGCAGCCUGAUUUUUCACAUCUUCAGAAGAAAUGGAAUCCUUUGCAUCCUUGCCAUCUUCUUGUAUCUCCACAGUUUCUUCUUCUUCUUCAUUGUCAUCCUUCAAUGGUUUUGUUGGCCUUCCUCUUCUUCUAUAAGCAGGAGCUUUUUCUUCUUCACCACUGCCAGGAUCUUCAUGUGAAGCAAUAACAGUCUGCUUCUUCGCUUUCCCUCUUCCCCUUCCCAUUGUCUGAAGUUAUUUGAAGUUGCUUGAAAGAAGAACAACUAAAGAUUCCUUCUUCUUCCUUGGGAAAAGAAUCAAAGCUUUACCGAAGAUCCUUCCUCAUAAAAUAUAUCCAUUACUUGCAUCUUUGUUGAAAAAGAAACCACUUAUCAGAAUCUAAUCUUCCAAAUCAAGAAACUACCAAAAACCCCCAGAAAUAAAUGGGUUUUCGUUGGUUUUCAAAAGAAAGCAGCCAAGAGCAACAAAAUGGUGAAAAUAAUGAUCUGAAUGGGAAUUUAAGCAUAACCCAGAUCAGAAACGAUAUGAUUCAAGAGAAGUAGCAGCAAAAAGAUUGAGACUUUAAAGAGUUCAUCAAGUUUGCGAGCUUAAAUGAAGUGGAGGCUAAGCGAGAACCAGAUACAACAACUGUCCAAGAAAGAAGUGAUGAGAGGAAAAAU